RNAcentral lists this unclassified non-coding RNA (377 nucleotides) under uncultured bacterium. RNAcentral describes it as "contains 16S-23S intergenic spacer region". The record is from RNAcentral.
UCCGAGUUGACCCCGGCAGUCUCCUAUGAGUCCCCGACAUUACUCGCUGGCAACAUAGGACGAGGGUUGCGCUCGUUGCGGGACUUAACCCAACAUCUCACGACACGAGCUGACGACAGCCAUGCACCACCUGCACACCAACCACAAGGGAACUACCAUCUCUGGCAGCGUCUGGCGCAUGUCAAACCCAGGUAAGGUUCUUCGCGUUGCGUCGAAUUAAACCACAUGCUCCACCGCUUGUGCGGGCCCCCGUCAAUUCCUUUGAGUUUCAGCCUUGCGGCCGUACUCCCCAGGCGGGGCACUUAAUGCGUUAGCGCCGGCACCCAGGGGGUCGCUCCCCCAGGCACCUAGUGCCCAUCGUUUACGGCGUGGACUAC